AUUGAACGCUGGCGGAAUGCUUUACACAUGCAAGUCGAACGGCAGCACGGGAGCUUGCUCCUGGUGGCGAGUGGCGAACGGGUGAGUAAUGCGUCGGAACGUGCCGAGUAAUGGGGGAUAACGUAGCGAAAGUUACGCUAAUACCGCAUAUUCUGUGAGCAGGAAAGCAGGGGAUCGCAAGACCUUGCGCUGAUUGAGCGGCCGAUAUCAGAUUAGCUAGUUGGUGAGGUAAAGGCUCACCAAGGCGACGAUCUGUAGCGGGUCUGAGAGGAUGAUCCGCCACACUGGAACUGAGACACGGUCCAGACUCCUACGGGAGGCAGCAGUGGGGAAUUUUGGUACAAUGGGCGGCAAGACCUCGAUCCA
This 366-nucleotide ribosomal RNA is filed under the name uncultured bacterium. RNAcentral describes it as "bacterial SSU rRNA". It matches the Rfam family "Bacterial small subunit ribosomal RNA", at positions 30 to 390 of the family's 1533-position model. The record is from RNAcentral.